UAUUUCAGUGAAACAAGAAAUUACGACUGUUGGUUGGUGUCCAGAAUUGGUCAGUGUGGCUAAAAUUGAGACACAGGUCAUGCUUCCAUCACAGUAAAUAUUUACAGAGGUGACAAUGAGGCCUGUACAUUU
This 132-nucleotide small nucleolar RNA is filed under the name Octodon degus (degu). RNAcentral describes it as "Small nucleolar RNA SNORA1 (ENSODEG00000022211.1)". It matches the Rfam family "Small nucleolar RNA SNORA1". Rfam says of the family: ACA1 is a member of the H/ACA class of snoRNA that guide the sites of modification of uridines to pseudouridines. The record is from Rfam by way of RNAcentral. Lineage: Eukaryota; Metazoa; Chordata; Mammalia; Rodentia; Octodontidae.